CAUCCAUGAGAAGACAUGGUAUUCUCAUUGAUCUCAUUUCCAUUGCUCUUUUUUGUAGACAUAUUUUGGGAAGAGAAGGUGCAAUGCAUUUCAGAUAUAUUUCUUCAGUUUCAACCUCCAUUGACCUAGCUUCUCAAACUGGAAGACAAUCUAACUUUCAGAAAGUUACUUUGAAGGAAGAGAAAGAAAAAGAAGAAAAUGCUUAAUGUGCUGGAUAUAUCUGGAACCUGGACAUUUUCUUGAAGCAGAACUUGAAUCAUGUUGUCUGCUUUACAUCCGUGCAUUACUGUUACCACAAGAUCAGAAGAGAUGCAGAAGCCAUCAGAUCAGGCCAAGGAAUUUGUCAAUCUCUUCUCACCCUGCUUCCUGAAGUUCACUUUGAAAAAGUAUUUCUUCACCAUUCACUUCUACUUGCAAGAGGAUGGAGGAGAAAGUAUAGUGAAUUUCAAGGAAGCGCAUACAAUUGCAGGGAAAUGUCAAUCUGAGAGAUCCAGUGAGAAGGAAGGAGAAUGGUUAGAAGUCCAGAGAACACUUCAGAAUUGGGGAUACAGUUAUGAACUCUGA
This 564-nucleotide long non-coding RNA is filed under the name Coturnix japonica (Japanese quail). RNAcentral describes it as "lncRNA (ENSCJPG00005021198.1)". Lineage: Eukaryota; Metazoa; Chordata; Aves; Galliformes; Phasianidae. The record is from RNAcentral.